RNAcentral lists this ribosomal RNA (254 nucleotides) under uncultured bacterium. RNAcentral describes it as "partial 16S ribosomal RNA". It matches the Rfam family "Bacterial small subunit ribosomal RNA", at positions 524 to 776 of the family's 1533-position model. The record is from RNAcentral.
CACGUGAGGGCGCAAGCGUUGUCCGGAAUUAUUGGGCGUAAAGAGCUACGUAGGUGGUUUGUUACGUCCGCUGUGAAAUCCGUAGGGCUUAACCCUGGGCUUGCAGUGGAUACGGGCAGACUAGAGGUAGGUAGGGAGAAUGGAAUUCCUGGUGUAGCGGUGAAAUGCGCAGAUAUCAGGAGGAACACCGGUGGCGAAGGCGGUCUCUGGGCCUUACCUGACACUGAGGAGCGAAAGCGUGGGGAGCGAACAGG